GCCCGUUGCGUAAUGGUGAGCGCAUUUGACUUCUAAUCUAGAGUUUCCGGGUUCGAGUCCCGGCAUCGGUUU
Molecule: transfer RNA, 72 nt
Filed under: Metschnikowia bicuspidata
Lineage: Eukaryota; Fungi; Ascomycota; Pichiomycetes; Serinales; Metschnikowiaceae
Description: tRNA-Arg
Rfam family: tRNA (bases 5-64)
About the family: Transfer RNA (tRNA) molecules are approximately 80 nucleotides in length. Their secondary structure includes four short double-helical elements and three loops (D, anti-codon, and T loops).
Source: RNAcentral